ACAAUCUCAAGAUUUUCUUCAUUUACCUUCUCUAGCUCAUUCUUACAAGUAACUGCAGCACCGCCAAGUUUAACGAUGCAGCGAAUUGGUUUAGUGAGAUUGGGACGACGCGUGGAAUCCUCCAUUUCUGUGCUUUCUGUCCUUGCUUCAGCUGUAUGCUUGAUUCCACUUUAUCAGUUCAGUGUAUUCCCAAAGCUAAG
RNAcentral lists this unclassified non-coding RNA (200 nucleotides) under Hevea brasiliensis (rubber tree). Lineage: Eukaryota; Viridiplantae; Streptophyta; Magnoliopsida; Malpighiales; Euphorbiaceae. The record is from RNAcentral.